Long non-coding RNA from Triticum dicoccoides, 1805 nucleotides. RefSeq lists it as uncharacterized. The transcript is spliced from 4 exons. The record is from RefSeq and is a predicted model, not a curated record. NCBI's taxonomy places the organism in Eukaryota, Viridiplantae, Streptophyta, Magnoliopsida, Poales, Poaceae.
CAUUAGCUGUAUCAAUGUACUAAUGGCUCGCUUUUGCAGUUGACAUCGCAAAAGCCUCGGUAUUCUAUUUGAAAAAUGCGUACUUUUUCUAAAAUUGUUAUUGCUCAGUGUUCUUAACAAAAUCUACCAAAGUUGCAAUUAACAUAAAAUGAUAUAUGUAGAUCUUAUGAUCAUUUUAAUUUGCGGAUAUAUUUCGUGUGCAUAAGGAGACAAAAUACAGUUGCUUUUAGCAUUCCUUCUUCAAUGGUAAGUUCGUGUAUAAGUAUACAGGAAAAAACGCAUUCCAACCCUACUCUUUGCGCAUAUGUUUAAUGUUUAAGGGAUCUGGCACCAUGGUUUUCACUUUCAGUGAGAUUUCAAUGAAAUUCACUGAAUUUCAUUAAUUUCAGCAGUCAUUGAAAUAUUUACCUUUUGGCCGGAAUAUUUCAGCCAUUUCAGUAGUACACAUGAAUUCAAAUAUUUCAAAAAUAAUUUCAAAACAUUGUUUAAUUGAAUUCAAGUGAAUAUUUUGGCCUUUUGGCAAAUGCAAACCGAUAUAACUGGAACUCAUUGAAUUUCAGUUGGUGCUGAAUGUUUCUCUGAAACUGAAAGUGAAAACCUUGUCUAGCAUUGUGGCACAUCAUAUGAAUGAUUUUGUGUAUUGUUUUACUUGGUGGACUUUCUGGUGUUGCCUGCUGAAGCUACAUGGCUGUGCCCUGCAGCACAAUGCUUGGAACAAUUGUAAAAGGUCACUGCCAUUGUAUACACAAAUUUAUUCCCAUAUUCUGGACAUAUAAAGUACAGUGGCAUCAUUUCAUGAAUGUGGAACCAGAUUGCCCCAAACUGAUUUUUUCAUAAAUUUUAAUUUAUUGGUGUAAAAUAUGGAGUGCGUCAUUAUUUUGUAAUAUCAGGUUUAUUCAUAUAAAUCUCUUGACUCUGAUUUUACUUUGCCUUGCCAUUUCAACCUGUCUAGGCUGUGGAGCUCUAGAUGUAGAAGCUCCCCUACGCCCACCCUUUUAGGCGCAGCCGCUUGCCGCUGCGAACAUCAAUGAUUCCAGUGACGACCAACUAUUUGGUGAAAUGUCAGAACAGCCGAAGAUCUCAUUUAUGAUGAAAGGUGAGAAUUUUACCAAAGGGUGAUGAAGAAACAUGCUUUACCAUGUCCUCUAAUCAGUUCUGGAGAUAUUGCUAUGCUCCAAAAGGAAGCUCCUGUCCUGGGCUACAACUUACUGGCACAUCCAGUCGAUGAACUGAUACUACAAACUCACGAUUGAAAUCGCUGUGGUAAAUUGACCUAUGACUGGUGAUAUAUGGGAUGCAAAGUUUGCUGGAAGAAGCUGAAAAUGGCGCAUUGAAAUGUCCUACAUGUUCCAAUCCAGAACCAUGACCAAGGUACAAAAUAGCAGUGCUUGCAAUAGACAUGGAACAUGAGGAGGAACCAAACCCAGUAUUCACAGAGUUUGCCUUUUUUAGAGCACGAGGAGAUAUAAUCACUGGAAGAAGCGCAAACUCGGCUGUAGCUCAUGGAAAAGGACGAGUUGGUUAGCUGGCACUGGAAAUAGAGGACUUUCUGGAACAAAAAUAUUGUGAGCGGUCACUACAAAUAGUAGAUCCCUGGGCUGAUUUUUAUUAGUAUUUCCAAGUGCAAGCAACAGAUCAUGUGCAAAGUGAGGCACCAUUAACUCUACAUCGAAUGGUUAAUCCGCCAUCUGCAUCGGACGUUCCAUGCAGGGGCGGACCCAGAACAAAAAUGUCCCGGUGUCCAUAUGUGUACUAUACACUGGUGGAUAUAUAUAAAAAUGAAAUACACUCAACAAUUUAAAAUA